RNAcentral lists this ribosomal RNA (258 nucleotides) under uncultured bacterium. RNAcentral describes it as "partial 16S ribosomal RNA". It matches the Rfam family "Bacterial small subunit ribosomal RNA", at positions 333 to 605 of the family's 1533-position model. The record is from RNAcentral.
UGUAUCCUACGGGACGCAGCAGUGGGGAAUAUUGGGCAAUGGGCACAAGCCUGACCCAGCAACGCCGCGUGAAGGAAGAAGGCUUUCGGGUUGUAAACUUCUUUUGUCAGGGACGAAGCAAGUGACGGUACCUGACGAAUAAGCCACGGCUAACUACGUGCCAGCAGCCGCGGUAAUACGUAGGUGGCAAGCGUUAUCCGGAUUUAUUGGGUGUAAAGGGCGUGUAGGCGGGAAUGCAAGUCAGAUGUGAAAACUAUG